GCUGGGCAUGGUGGCGCGUACCUGUCAUCCCAGCUACUCAGGAGGCUGAGGCAGGAGAAUUGCCUGAACCCAGGAGCGGAGGUUGCGGUGAGCUGAGAUGGCGCCAUUGAACUCCAGCCUGGGUAACAAGAGCGAAACUCCAUCUCAAAAACAAAAAAAAUAAGGCGUCAAGAAUGAUGAAUCCUUUCUAGGUUUUCAGUUGACUUUUUUUUUUUUUUGAGACAGUUUUGCUCUUGUUGCCCAGGCUGGAGUGCAAUGGCACAAUCUCAGCUCACCACAACCUCCGCCUCCCGGGUUCAAGCAAUUCUCUUGCCUCAG
This 318-nucleotide small RNA is filed under the name Callithrix jacchus (white-tufted-ear marmoset). RNAcentral's name for it is "Metazoan signal recognition particle RNA (ENSCJAG00000059499.2)". The record is from RNAcentral. Lineage: Eukaryota; Metazoa; Chordata; Mammalia; Primates; Cebidae.